This 793-nucleotide ribosomal RNA is filed under the name uncultured bacterium. RNAcentral describes it as "bacterial SSU rRNA". It matches the Rfam family "Bacterial small subunit ribosomal RNA", at positions 57 to 842 of the family's 1533-position model. The record is from RNAcentral.
GCAGUCGAGCGGAACGAUGCCUAGCUUGCUAGGAGGCGUCGAGCGGCGGACGGGUGAGUAAUGCAUAGGAAUCUGCCCGGUAGUGGGGGAUAACCUGGGGAAACCCAGGCUAAUACCGCAUACGCCCUACGGGGGAAAGCAGGGGAUCUUCGGACCUUGCGCUAUCGGAUGAGCCUAUGUCGGAUUAGCUAGUUGGUGAGGUAACGGCUCACCAAGGCUGCGAUCCGUAGCUGGUCUGAGAGGAUGAUCAGCCACAUCGGGACUGAGACACGGCCCGAACUCCUACGGGAGGCAGCAGUGGGGAAUAUUGGACAAUGGGCGAAAGCCUGAUCCAGCCAUGCCGCGUGUGUGAAGAAGGCCUUCGGGUUGUAAAGCACUUUCAGUGAGGAAGAAAGCCUUGAGGUUAAUACCCUCGAGGGAGGACAUCACUCACAGAACAAGCACCGGCUAACUCCGUGCCAGCAGCCGCGGUAAUACGGAGGGUGCGAGCGUUAAUCGGAAUUACUGGGCGUAAAGCGCGCGUAGGCGGCUUGAUAAGCCGGUUGUGAAAGCCCCGGGCUCAACCUGGGAACGGCAUCCGGAACUGUCAUGCUAGAGUGCAUGAGAGGAAGGUAGAAUUCCCGGUGUAGCGGUGAAAUGCGUACAGAUCGGGAGGAAUACCAGUGGCGAACGCGGCCUUCUGGACUGACACUGACGCUGAGGUGCGAAAGCGUGGGUAGCAAACAGGAUUACAUACCCUGGUAGUCCACGCCGUAAACGAUGUCGACUAGCCGUUGGGCUCCUUGAGAGCUUU